Molecule: non-coding RNA, 73 nt
Organism: Aedes albopictus (Asian tiger mosquito)
Lineage: Eukaryota; Metazoa; Arthropoda; Insecta; Diptera; Culicidae
Source: Rfam
CUCCGGUUAGCCUUGUGGAUAAGGCGUUGGAUCGCCAAUCCGGAGACGGCGGGUUCGAUUCCCGUUCCGGUCG